GUGGCUGCAGCUCGAUCGGUCGAGCGUCUGGCUGAAGACCAGAAGGCGAAGGUUCGAUUCCUUCCGGCCACA
Molecule: transfer RNA, 72 nt
Filed under: Phycisphaerae bacterium
Lineage: Bacteria; Pseudomonadati; Planctomycetota; Phycisphaerae
Description: tRNA-Phe
Rfam family: tRNA
About the family: Transfer RNA (tRNA) molecules are approximately 80 nucleotides in length. Their secondary structure includes four short double-helical elements and three loops (D, anti-codon, and T loops). Further hydrogen bonds mediate the characteristic L-shaped molecular structure. tRNAs have two regions of fundamental functional importance: the anti-codon, which is responsible for specific mRNA codon recognition, and the 3' end, to which the tRNAs corresponding amino acid is attached (by aminoacyl-tRNA synthetases). tRNAs cope with the degeneracy of the genetic code in two manners: having more than one tRNA (with a specific anti-codon) for a particular amino acid; and 'wobble' base-pairing, i.e. permitting non-standard base-pairing at the 3rd anti-codon position.
Source: RNAcentral